This is a small nuclear RNA of Peromyscus eremicus (cactus mouse), 103 nucleotides long. NCBI's taxonomy places the organism in Eukaryota, Metazoa, Chordata, Mammalia, Rodentia, Cricetidae. The record is from RefSeq and is a predicted model, not a curated record.
AUAGACAAAAAAUAAAUAAAUAAAUAAUGGACCGACACAGAGAAGAUCAGCAUGGCCCCUGCACAAGGAUGGCACGCAAAUUCUCGAAGCGUUCCGUAUUAAU